Molecule: long non-coding RNA, 1196 nt
Filed under: Pan troglodytes (chimpanzee)
Lineage: Eukaryota; Metazoa; Chordata; Mammalia; Primates; Hominidae
Description: long non-coding RNA NONPTRT002937
Source: RNAcentral
AGGUGUCACAGCACGAUGGUCAUAUCAGUGCUGGGGAGGGACGGAAUUCCUAGGAUGCUUGCUAGAGGGUCACGGGGUUGGGGCACUCCUCAACCACGGGGCUGAGGCACUCCAAGUGCAGAGGCUUGGAAGAGCCACAGUGGAUCCAGGCCCUGAUGCCUGAGAAGGAGCCAGCUAGGCAGAGCCGGGGAGGAGCACUCCAGACAGACAGCAAUGAACCAUCCAAAAAUGAAGUGAAGAAGACAAUCUCAUUUAUAAUAUUGGCAAAAAGAACAUACCUAGAAAUAAAUGCAGCAAAAGAUGCAUAAAACUUGUGUACUGAAAAAUACAAAAUAUUUUUGAAAGGAAUCAAAGAGUAUCAAAUUAAAUGGAAAGAUAUCCUGCAGUCAUGGAUCAGGAGACAUAAUGUUAAGAUGGCCAAACUCCCGAAUUCAUCUAUAGCUUCACAAUCUCUAUCAAAAUCCCAUCUGUCUUUUUACAAGCUGAUGCUCAAAUUCAUAAGGAAAUACAAGGGUUUCAGAAUAGCCAAAACAAUCUAGAAAGAGAAGAGCAAAACUGGAGGGCUCACAUUUCCUGAUUGAAACUUACUGCAAAGCUACAGUAAUCAAGACAAUGUGGUACUGGCAUAAGGAUAGACAUACAGAUCAAUGCAGUAAAGUUGAGACUCCAAGAACAAAUCUUUGCAUUUAUGGUCAAUUGAUUUUUUUAAAGACUGUUCAAGUGCAGCAGUGAGAAGGCGGGAAAGAGUAGAACGAGGUGUUCCAUCUGUAACUGACUGUGAACAAUCAAUUGAGAUAACUCACUACCUUCAGACCGGCCAUCAGUUGAUUUUUGAUAAGGGUACCAAGACAAUUCAAUGGGGGAAGGAAUAGUCUUUUCGGAAAAUGGUGCUGGGACAACUAGAUAUCCAUGUGCAAAAGAAUGAAGUUGGACCCCUACCUCAUGCUGUGCACAAAAAUUAACUCAAAAUGGAUCGUAGACCUAAAUGUAAGCACUAAAAUUAUGAAAUCCUUAGGAAGGCCAGGCGCAGUGGCUCACACCUGUAAUCCCAGCAGUUUGGGAGGCUGAGGCAAGUGGAUCACCUGAGAUCAGGAGUUUGAGUCCAGCCUGGCCAACAUGGUGAAACCAUGUCUCUGCUAAAAACACAAAAAUUAGCUGGGCAUGGUGGUGGGCGCCUGUAAUCCCAGCUACUCGGG